ACUCAAAUGAAUUGACGGGGGCCCGCACAAGCAGUGGAGCAUGUGGUUCAAUUGGAUGCUACGCCAAAAACCUUACCAAGACUUGACUUCCCAGUGUAACCUUUAGGAAACUAGAGGCCCCUUCGGGCACUGGAGACAGGUGGUGCAUGGUUGUCGUCAGCUCGUGCCGUGAGGUGUUGGAUUAAGUUCCGCAACGAGCGCAACCCUCGUCGUUAGUUGCCAUCAUUCAGUUGGGCACUCUAGCGAGACCGCCGGCGUCAAGCCGGAGGAAGGUGGGGAUGACGUCAAAUCAUCAUGCCCCUUACGUCUUGGGCUACACACGUGCUACAAUGGGCGGUACAACGGGUUGCCACGGCGCGAGCCGGAGCGAAUCCCUUAAAGCCGUCCUCAGUUCGGAUUGCAGGCUGCAACUCGCCUGCAUGAAGCUGGAAUUGCUAGUAACCGUGGAUCAGCAUGCCGCGGUGAAUACGUACCCGGGCCUUGUACACACCGCCCGU
Molecule: ribosomal RNA, 497 nt
Filed under: uncultured bacterium
Lineage: Bacteria
Description: partial 16S ribosomal RNA
Rfam family: Bacterial small subunit ribosomal RNA
Source: RNAcentral